AGGAUAAACGCUGGCGGCGUGCCUAACACAUGCAAGUCGAACGUCCUACGCGCAAGCGUAGGGAGUGGCGGACGGGUGAGUAACACGUGGGCAAUCUACCUUUCGGUGAGGAAUACCGGCGAGAAAUCGCCGACAAGACCGCAUACGCUCGGGCAACCGAGCAAAGUCGCAAGACGCCGGAGGAGGAGCCUGCGCCCGAUUAGCUAGUUGGUGAGGUAAGAGCUUACCAAGGCGACGAUCGGUAGCUGGUCUGAGAGGAUGAUCAGCCACACUGGGAUUGAGAACGGCCCAGACUCCUACGGGGGGCAGCAGUGAGGAAUUUUCGUCAAUGGGGGCAACCCUGAACGAGCAACGCCGCGUGCAGGAUGACGCUUUUCGGAGUGUAAACUGCUUUUCGUCGGGGAAGAGCAAGGACGGUACCCGAGGAAUCAGCCCCGGCUAACUACGUGCCAGCAGCCGC
Molecule: ribosomal RNA, 460 nt
Filed under: uncultured bacterium
Lineage: Bacteria
Description: SSU rRNA
Rfam family: Bacterial small subunit ribosomal RNA
Source: RNAcentral